RNAcentral lists this ribosomal RNA (500 nucleotides) under uncultured bacterium. Its description in RNAcentral is "partial 16S ribosomal RNA". It matches the Rfam family "Bacterial small subunit ribosomal RNA", at positions 29 to 523 of the family's 1533-position model. The record is from RNAcentral.
AUUGAACGCUGGCGGCAUGCCUUACACAUGCAAGUCGAACGGCAGCACGGGAGCAAUCCUGGUGGCAAGUGGCGAACGGGUGAGUAAUAUAUCGGAACGUGCCCAGUAGUGGGGGAUAACUGCUCGAAAGAGCAGCUAAUACCGCAUACGACCUGAGGGUGAAAGCGGGGGAUCGCAAGACCUCGCGCUAUUGGAGCGGCCGAUAUCAGAUUAGCUAGUUGGUGAGGUAAGGGCUCACCAAGGCGACGAUCUGUAGCUGGUCUGAGAGGACGACCAGCCACACUGGGACUGAGACACGGCCCAGACUCCUACGGGAGGCAGCAGUGGGGAAUUUUGGACAAUGGGCGCAAGCCUGAUCCAGCCAUGCCGCGUGCGGGAAGAAGGCCUUCGGGUUGUAAACCGCUUUUGUCAGGGAAGAAACGGCUCCUACUAAUACUGGGGGCUAAUGACGGUACCUGAAGAAUAAGCACCGGCUAACUACGUGCCAGCCGCCGCCGUAA